GAGGGAUGGCUGAGUGGUUUAAAGCACCGGUCUUGAAAACCGGCGGGGCGCAAGCCCUCGGGGGUUCGAAUCCCUCUCCCUCC
Molecule: transfer RNA, 83 nt
Filed under: pig gut metagenome
Rfam family: tRNA
About the family: Transfer RNA (tRNA) molecules are approximately 80 nucleotides in length. Their secondary structure includes four short double-helical elements and three loops (D, anti-codon, and T loops).
Source: RNAcentral